Molecule: RNA transcript, 3535 nt
Organism: Bufo bufo (common toad)
Lineage: Eukaryota; Metazoa; Chordata; Amphibia; Anura; Bufonidae
Gene: INTS9
Gene name: integrator complex subunit 9
Exons: 18
Source: RefSeq, a predicted model, not a curated record
GACAGCGGAGCUAGAAGGAGAAACAAAAAAAAAAAAGCAUGUUUGGGACGUCACGGUGACGUCACGGCAGAGCGGAGAACUACAGAUCCCGGCGGGCUGUGCGCGGCCAGGAAAGGGAGCCUGCUACAAUGAAGCUGUACUGCUUGUCCGGCCAUCCUACGCUGCCAUGCAACAUCCUGAAGUUCAAGUCCACGACCAUCAUGCUGGACUGCAGCCUGGACAUGACCUCCGUCCUCAGCUUUCUCCCGCUCCCUCUGGUGCACAGCACUCGUCUGUCCAAAUUGCCCGGCUGGAUCUCAAAGGAUGGAAGUGCCCAGCUGGAGAAGGAACUGAAGGAGUGCUCAGGACAUGUAUUUGUGGACUCUGUGCCCGAAUUCUGCCUCCCAGAAACGCAGCUCAUAGAUCUGUCUACUGUAGAUGUGAUCCUAAUCUCUAACUAUCACUGUAUGAUGGCACUGCCAUACAUCACCGAGCACACCGGAUUCACCGGCACCGUCUACGCCACCGAGCCCACCGUACAGAUCGGCAGGUUGCUCAUGGAAGAACUGGUUAAUUUCGUGGAACGGGUCCCGAAGGCGCAGUCCGCCACCAUGUGGAAGCACAAGGACAAUCAGAGGCAGCUGCCGCCCCCCCUGAAGGACGCUGUCGAGGUUUUCACGUGGCGCAAGUGUUACACGAUGCAGGAGGUGAACGCCGCGCUCAGCAAGAUACAGCUCGUGGGGUACUCCCAGAAAAUAGAGCUUUUUGGUGCCGUACAGGUGACGCCGCUCAGUUCCGGUUAUGCUCUCGGCAGCUCGAAUUGGAUUAUUCAGUCCCAUUAUGAAAAGGUCUCUUAUGUGUCGGGGUCUUCACUUCUAACUACCCACCCACAGGCAAUGGAUCAGACAUCUCUUAAGAACAGUGACGUCCUCAUCCUCACCGGUCUCACCCAGAUUCCCACUGCCAAUCCAGACGGCAUGGUGGGCGAGUUCUGCAGUAAUCUGGCAAUGACGAUUCGUAAUGGCGGUAACGUGCUGGUGCCGUGCUACCCCUCUGGCGUCAUCUACGACCUCCUGGAGUGCCUGUUCCAGUACAUCGACUCUGCCGGACUCUCCAACGUCCCCUUCUACUUCAUUUCUCCCGUGGCCAACAGCUCCCUCGAGUUCUCCCAGAUCUUUGCUGAGUGGCUCUGCCACAACAAGCAGAAUAAGGUCUACCUCCCAGAACCUCCAUUUCCUCAUGCCGAGUUGAUCCAGACCAAUAAACUGAAGCAUUAUCCCAACAUCCACGGCGACUUCAGUAACGACUUCAAGCAGCCGUGCGUGGUGUUUACGGGUCACCCCACCCUGCGCUUCGGAGACGUGGUGCAUUUCAUGGAGCUGUGGGGGAAGUCCAGCCUGAACACCAUCAUCUUCACCGAGCCGGACUUCUCUUACCUGGACGCCCUGGCUGCGUACCAGCCGCUGGCCAUGAAAUGCGUCUACUGCCCCAUCGACACUCGUCUCAAUUUCAUCCAAGUGUCAAAGCUUCUCAAGGAAGUCCAGCCCCUCCAUGUUGUGUGCCCUGAACAGUACACCCAGCCACCGGCGUCUCAGUCCCACCGCUCCGACCUUAUGAUCGACUGUCUGCCGCCUCCCAUGUCCUAUCGCCGGGCAGAGGUGCUGACCCUGCCCUUCAAGAGGCGCUAUGAGAAGAUAGAAAUCAUGCCAGAGCUGGCGGAGUCCCUGGUGCCCAAGGAGAUUAAACCCGGAGUUUCCCUGGCUAUGGUGUCUGCCGUUCUCUAUACCAAAGACAACAAGCAUGUCCUGCAGCCUCCACCUAAGGCCGCGGCGCCAGCCCAGUCCAGCAAGAAGAGGAAGCGAGCCACUGAGGAGAAUCCAGAGAGCCAGCAAUGCAAGCCACUGCUGAGCGGCUCCAUCCCCGUGGAACAGUUCGUCCAAACUCUGGAGAAACACGGUUUCUCAGACGUGAAGAUUGAAGACACUUCCAAGGGCCACAUGCUGCACUUACAAGAGGCGGACACUCUUAUCCAGUUCGAGGAGGAUUCCACACACAUCAUCUGUGAACACGACGAGCGCCUGAGGGUCAAACUCCGGGACCUGGUCCUCAAGUUCCUACAAAAGUUCUAGACGAGAGGAUUUGCUGAGUGCAAUCUGCAGCAGAUGCAAUUCUCGUGGUGGCCACUAGAGGGCGCAGUGUGAUUAUGCUGGAACCAGCAGUAGCUUCUGGGGUGGCCAGACUGGCGGCGUGUGGUUGUAGAGCUAGUCACAUAAUGGACUGUAGGGGGAGUGUUACAUAUGUAAAUCCACGCUUGUGUACAGCACAGAGUAUUUGUAGCUCAAUUUUUGUACAAAAAAUGAUUUUUUUUAUUUUUUUUUUAAAUAUUUAAAUAUAAAAAAAUAUUCUUUCUGUCAUUUAUGUUGAGAAUGAAUAUUAUCAUCCUCUGUGUAUUCUGCUUUGUAUGGGGAGGCUAUAGAAUUGUGUUUUAUUAUUUUUCUUAAAGGGAACCAGCUACUAGUACUAGAUCCCUUUAAAUUAUGCUUUAUGGAUGAUGGGUGCUGUAGUACCCUAUAAAUAGCCCCUCUGAUGGGCCGCUUGUACACUUGCUCAGCUGUCUGCAGAAAUCCUAUAGAAGAGAGUAGAGCUUGAUGGGAGUUGUAGUUUCACAACAGCUGGAUUGCAAAAGGUUGCUGACCCCUACUCCAUGCCGGUCUUUGUAAAUGAUUGUAUGCUCCAUGAGUUCACAAUUCUGGAGCAUUUUUUUUCUUAGAAUGUUGCAUUGUGCUGUUCCUCCACUAUUCCUCCUAGAUGCUUAUGAACAAAUUAACAACUGGUUUUUACCCUUCCCUUAGGGAUGUAUUCCUAUACAAUCUUACACUGUUAGCACUGAUUGAACAAUGUCCGGGUAUGUAGGGACACACCCUCAACUGGUAAAACCCCGCUUUCUAUUUAUUUAUACCUUCUUUUUAGAGGAAUAAUAGAGGAAUGGCACAACUCAGUUCUAAGUUCAUGCAGCAUACAAGCAUUUACUAAGUACAUCAGGGGAGGCAAUGCGACCAUCAAGGAUAUUAACUUCUGAAAUGUCCUACGCUGCAGGGGACACUAUGACCUAAAAACCCUUAGACCACCUGGGAUAUUAAUCCCUGAAACACUAGACCACCAUUUAUUAAGCCCAAUACAUUGUAUAUUGCCAGGAACAUUAACCCUCAAUGCACUCUGUUUCUGUGGUCUUUAAGUACUUUAAGUAAAUUGUGUUUUUGUGCGAUGACCCCCUUUAAGGAUAUCCCAUAGUGAGAACAUCUGUGGAAAUGAACAAGCCCUCCCCUGGACCACCAGGAAUAUUACCCCCCCUGAAACUGGAUGAGCAGGGACAGUAAAGGUGUAUUCCCAUGUGUUGGGCCUGAUAUCCCAGCCCCCACCAUUCUUAAGUGGUAAGUGCAAAAAUACCUGGGCAUUUAAUCCUUUGAGUCCCAGAGCGAGUUUUCCCGCGCGGGUGCAAUUCGUGAUGCGAACGCAUAGCACCCGCACUGAAUCCGGACCCAUUCAUUUCUAUGGG